UAUCAAACUUCUUGCACGCAAACUUUCACACUUGGAUCCGUUGACGCUGAAAGUGCCGCUCAAAGAUGUUGUCUGCUAUUUAUCAUUGCUGGAAGCUGGACGACCGGAAGAUAAGCUCGAAUUCAUGUUUCGAUUGUACGAUACCGAUGGCAAUGGCGUCCUGGAUACCGCCGAAAUGGAUGCGAUUGUUAAUCAAAUGAUGGCUGUUGCCGAAUAUCUUGGCUGGGAUGUUAGCGAAUUGCGACCGGUAAGUAAAAGUUGAUUUAAC
This is a long non-coding RNA of Rhagoletis pomonella (apple maggot), 268 nucleotides long. RefSeq lists it as uncharacterized. The record is from RefSeq and is a predicted model, not a curated record. NCBI's taxonomy places the organism in Eukaryota, Metazoa, Arthropoda, Insecta, Diptera, Tephritidae. The transcript has 2 exons.